AGUCGAGCGCCCCGCAAGGGGAGCGGCAGACGGGUGAGUAACACGUGGGAACGUGCCCUAAGGUACGGAACAACUCCGGGAAACUGGAGCUAAUACCGUAUGUGACCGAGAGGUGAAAGAUUCAUCGCCUUGGGAUCGGCCCGCGUCUGAUUAGCUAGUUGGUGGGGUAAUGGCCUACCAAGGCGACGAUCAGUAGCUGGUCUGAGAGGAUGAUCAGCCACACUGGGACUGAGACACGGCCCAGACUCCUACGGGAGGCAGCAGUGGGGAAUCUUGGACAAUGGGCGCAAGCCUGAUCCAGCCAUGCCGCGUGGAUGAUGAAGGCCCUAGGGUUGUAAAAUCCUUUCGUCAGGGACGAUAAUGACGGUACCUGAAGAAGAAGCCCCGGCUAACUUCGUGCCAGCAGCCGCGGUAAUACGAAGGGGGCUAGCGUUGUUCGGAAUUACUGGGCGUAAAGCGCAUGUAGGCGGGUCGUUAAGUCGGGGGUGAAAGCCCAGAGCUCAACUCUGGAACUGCCUUCGAUACUGGCGACCUGGACCCAAGGAGAGGCGAGUGGAAUUGCGAGUGUAGAGGUGAAAUUCGUAGAUAUUCGCAGGAACACCAGUGGCGAAGGCGACUCGCUGGACUUGUGGUGACGCUGAGAUGCGAAAGCGUGGGGAGCAAACAGGAUUAGAUACYCUGGUAGUCCACGCCGUAAACGAUGAGAGCUAGUUGUCAGUAAGUAUACUUAUUGGUGACGCAGCUAACGCUUUAAGCUCUCCGCCUGGGGAGUACGGCCGCAAGGUUAAAACUCAAAGAAAUUGACGGGGGCCY
Molecule: ribosomal RNA, 813 nt
Filed under: uncultured bacterium
Lineage: Bacteria
Description: bacterial SSU rRNA
Rfam family: Bacterial small subunit ribosomal RNA
Source: RNAcentral